AUGAACGCUGGCGGCGUGCCUAAUACAUGCAAGUCGAGCGAACAGAUGAGGAGCUUGCUCCUCUGACGUUAGCGGCGGACGGGUGAGUAACACGUGGAUAACCUACCUAUAAGACUGGGAUAACUUCGGGAAACCGGAGCUAAUACCGGAUAAUAUAUUGAACCGCAUGGUUCAAUAGUGAAAGACGGUUUUGCUGUCACUUAUAGAUGGAUCCGCGGCGCAUUAGCUAGUUGGUAAGGUAACGGCUUACCAAGGCAACGAUGCGUAGCCGACCUGAGAGGCGGAUCCGCCACCGGGGAAGGAGGAGGCGCACCAACACCCAAGGGGAGGCAAGAGAAAGAAAUCUGCCGGAAGGGGGAGAGGGGAAAAGGGGAAACGGGGCGGAGGUGAGAAAGGGCUACGGGGCGUAAAAGCUGGUUAUGUGGGAGAAACAAAGGUGUAUGAAACUGGCCGCGAUUGACAGUACCCGAAGAAGAAGCCCCGGCUAAAUCCGUG
This 495-nucleotide ribosomal RNA is filed under the name uncultured bacterium. RNAcentral's name for it is "partial 16S ribosomal RNA". It matches the Rfam family "Bacterial small subunit ribosomal RNA", at positions 30 to 507 of the family's 1533-position model. The record is from RNAcentral.